This 253-nucleotide ribosomal RNA is filed under the name uncultured bacterium. RNAcentral's name for it is "partial 16S ribosomal RNA". It matches the Rfam family "Bacterial small subunit ribosomal RNA", at positions 524 to 776 of the family's 1533-position model. The record is from RNAcentral.
UACGAAGGGGGCGAGCGUUGUCCGGAUUUAUUGGGCGUAAAGAGCGUGUAGGCGGCCAAGCAGGUCCGCUGUGAAAACUCGAGGCUCAACCUCGAGACGUCGGUGGAAACCGUUUGGCUAGAGUCCGGAAGAGGAGAGUGGAGUUCCCGGUGUAGCGGUGAAAUGCGCAGAUAUCGGGAAGAACACCCGUGGCGAAGGCGGCUCUCUGGGACGGUACUGACGCUGAGACGCGAAAGCGUGGGGAGCGAACAGG